CAAAAAAAAAUUGAAAC
RNAcentral lists this small RNA (17 nucleotides) under Arabidopsis thaliana (thale cress). RNAcentral's name for it is "ATSL122670". The record is from RNAcentral. Lineage: Eukaryota; Viridiplantae; Streptophyta; Magnoliopsida; Brassicales; Brassicaceae.